GAUGAAGAACGCAGCAAAAUGCGAUAAGUAAUGUGAAUUGCAGAAUUCAGUGAAUCAUCGAAUCUUUGAACGCACAUUGCGCCCGCUGGUAUUCCGGCGGGCAUGCCUGUUCGAGCGUCAUUUCAACCCUCAAGCCCCCGGGUUUGGUGUUGGGGAUCGGCUCUGCCCUUCUGGGCGGUGCCGCCCCCGAAAUACAUUGGCGGUCUCGCUGCAGCCUCCAUUGCGUAGUAGCUAACACCUCACAACUGGAACGCGGCGCGGCCAUGCCGUAAAACCCCAACUUCUGAAUGUUGACCUCGGAUCAGGUAGGAAUACCCGCUGAACUUAAGCAUAUCAAUAAGCGGAGGA
This 348-nucleotide unclassified non-coding RNA is filed under the name soil metagenome. RNAcentral's name for it is "partial contains 5.8S ribosomal RNA, internal transcribed spacer 2, and large subunit ribosomal RNA". The stretch from base 1 to 120 matches the Rfam family "5.8S ribosomal RNA", at positions 35 to 154 of the family's 154-position model. The record is from RNAcentral.